Small nucleolar RNA from Ornithorhynchus anatinus (platypus), 138 nucleotides. The record is from RefSeq and is a predicted model, not a curated record. Lineage: Eukaryota; Metazoa; Chordata; Mammalia; Monotremata; Ornithorhynchidae.
CCCUUCUCAGGGUCACCCCUGGAGAGUUUUCACGAAUCUACCAGUCUUGAUUAUGGGAGGGAGAGCCAAGCAGAGGCAUAGCCAUUCCAUUCCUAGCUUGGGCAGUGGCUAGCGAGUGGAAGGCAAUCUGCUACAAGU